This 467-nucleotide ribosomal RNA is filed under the name uncultured bacterium. RNAcentral describes it as "partial 16S ribosomal RNA". It matches the Rfam family "Bacterial small subunit ribosomal RNA", at positions 28 to 506 of the family's 1533-position model. The record is from RNAcentral.
GACGAACGCUGGCGGCGUGCUUAACACAUGCAAGUCGAACGGAAAGGCCCUGCUUUUGUGGGGUGCUCGAGUGGCGAACGGGUGAGUAACACGUGAGUAACCUGCCCUUGACUUUGGGAUAACUUCAGGAAACUGGGGCUAAUACCGGAUAGGAGCUCCUGCUGCAUGGUGGGGGUUGGAAAGUUUCGGCGGUUGGGGAUGGACUCGCGGCUUAUCAGCUUGUUGGUGGGGUAGUGGCUUACCAAGGCUUUGACGGGUAGCCGGCCUGAGGGGGUGACCGGCCACAUUGGGACUGAGAUACGGCCCAGACUCCUACGGGAGGCAGCAGUGGGGAAUAUUGCACAAUGGGCGGAAGCAGGAUGCAGCAACGCCGCGUGCGGGAGGACGGCCUUCGGGUUGUAAACCGCUUUCGCCUGUGACGAAGCGUGAGUGACGGUAAUGGGUAAAGAAGCACCGGCUAACUACGU